GGUAUAUUUCUGAUAAGCAGCAAAGUGUCUUUGAAGUGUGUCUCUGUAUUUACUGACUGUGAACAGUGCAUGUAGAUAUGACAAAGAAGAAUCAAGCAAUAAUGACAACUAUCAUUUAUUUACUCUUGAUGAUAUUAUGUUUAAAAGAUGUUCAUUGUCAAACCUUCACUCAGCCUCAAGAUGUGUUGAAAAAACCUGGCGAAUCCUUCAGACUGAUCUGCACCGCUUCUGGAUUUACAUUCAGCAGCUACUGGGCAGCUGUGGUUAGACAGGCUCCUGGUAAAGGACUGGAAUGGGUUGCAACUAUUAGCACAUCCAGUACUUAUAUCUACUAUUCCCAGUCAGUUCAGGGAAGAUUCACAGUUACCAGAGACGACUCCAGCAGUCAACUGUAUCUACAGAUGAACAGUCUAAAGACUGAAGACACAGCUGUGUAUUACUGUGCCAGAGAGUCACAGUGAAUGAGUUUAAGGUCAAAGCAAUACAAAAACCACUUCCUCAUUUCAGAAUAAUAAUGCUAGUAUUAAUAAUAAUACUAUUUA
Non-coding RNA from Misgurnus anguillicaudatus (oriental weatherfish), 542 nucleotides. The record is from the annotation of a RefSeq genome assembly. NCBI's taxonomy places the organism in Eukaryota, Metazoa, Chordata, Actinopteri, Cypriniformes, Cobitidae.